RNAcentral lists this ribosomal RNA (460 nucleotides) under uncultured bacterium. RNAcentral's name for it is "partial 16S ribosomal RNA". It matches the Rfam family "Bacterial small subunit ribosomal RNA", at positions 338 to 795 of the family's 1533-position model. The record is from RNAcentral.
CCUACGGGUGGCUGCAGUGAGGAAUAUUGGUCAAUGGACGAGAGUCUGAACCAGCCAAGUAGCGUGAAGGAUGACUGCCCUAUGGGUUGUAAACUUCUUUUAUAUGGGAAUAAAAUGUUCCACGUGUGCCUUUUUGUAUGUACUUUAUGAAUAAGGAUCGGCUAACUCCGUGCCAGCAGCCGCGGUAAUACGGAGGAUCCGAGCGUUAUCCGGAUUUAUUGGGUUUAAAGGGAGCGUAGAUGGGUUGUUAAGUCAGUUGUGAAAGUUUGCGGCUCAACCGUAAAAUUGCAAUGGAUACUGGCAGUCUUGAGUACAGUUGAGGUAGGCGGAAUUCGUGGUGUAGCGGUGAGAUGCUUAGAUAUCACGAAGAACUCCGAUUGCGAAGGCAGCUUACUAAACUGCCACUGACAUUGAUGCUCGAAAGUGUGGGUAUCAAACAGGAUUAGAUACCCUUGUAGUC